RNAcentral lists this ribosomal RNA (442 nucleotides) under uncultured bacterium. RNAcentral's name for it is "bacterial SSU rRNA". It matches the Rfam family "Bacterial small subunit ribosomal RNA", at positions 958 to 1397 of the family's 1533-position model. The record is from RNAcentral.
AACGCGAAGAACCUUACCUGGGCUCGAACGGCUUUGGAUCGACGGUGGAAACACUGUUUUCCCGCAAGGGACCGGAGUCGAGGUGCUGCAUGGCUGUCGUCAGCUCGUGUCGUGAGAUGUUGGGUUAAGUCCCGCAACGAGCGCAACCCUUGUCCUGUGUUGCCACUCCCGUAAGGGAAGCACUCUCAGGAGACCGCCAGCGAUAAGUUGGAGGAAGGUGGGGAUGAUGUCAAGUCAUCAUGGCCUUUAUGUCCAGGGCUACACACGUGCUACAAUGGUCGGUACAAAGCGCUGCAAACCCGCGAGGGGGAGCUAAUCGCAAAAAGCCGGCCUCAGUUCGGAUUGCAGGCUGCAACUCGCCUGCAUGAAGCUGGAAUCGCUAGUAAUGCCGUAUCAGAACGAUGGCGUGAAUACGUUCCCGGGCCUUGUACACACCGGCUAC